Molecule: ribosomal RNA, 82 nt
Filed under: Ensifer meliloti
Lineage: Bacteria; Pseudomonadati; Pseudomonadota; Alphaproteobacteria; Hyphomicrobiales; Rhizobiaceae
Description: Sinorhizobium meliloti partial 16S ribosomal RNA
Rfam family: Bacterial small subunit ribosomal RNA
Source: RNAcentral
UCAACUUGAGAGUUUGAUCCUGGCUCAGAACGAACGCUGGCGGCAGGCUUAACACAUGCAAGUCGAGCGCCCCGCAAGGGGA